Molecule: long non-coding RNA, 336 nt
Filed under: Elaeis guineensis (African oil palm)
Lineage: Eukaryota; Viridiplantae; Streptophyta; Magnoliopsida; Arecales; Arecaceae
Description: long non-coding RNA (EGUI_LNC031231)
Source: RNAcentral
GUCAUGAUAUAAACCAUGAAUACAUAGACAUAUAAAAGAAAAAGCAACAACAUAUCAAUCCCUACAUACGUAUAUAUAAUACUCUCCCAAGAGGAAAAAUAUACGAAAAAUAACAACAAAUCAAUGAAUAAUCCCUCUCAUGAAAACUAGAGCACAUCAUGAUGAUCAGAAGAGGUCCCAAUCACACUUGGUCGUCUCGAACGGGGACGACGAGCUUCCCGGCACCGGAAGCUUCAGGUCGCAAUUAAUUUUCGUCUUAGUAUAUCGGAUCUUAAAGAUCCCCACCUUGACCCUCAGCCUGGUGUAGAACUUGAUAUCAACGUAGUAAUACCCCUC